This 468-nucleotide ribosomal RNA is filed under the name uncultured bacterium. RNAcentral describes it as "partial 16S ribosomal RNA". It matches the Rfam family "Bacterial small subunit ribosomal RNA", at positions 28 to 507 of the family's 1533-position model. The record is from RNAcentral.
GACGAACGCUGGCGGCGUGCUUAACACAUGCAAGUCGAACGGAAAGGCCCUGCUUUUGUGGGGUGCUCGAGUGGCGAACGGGUGAGUAACACGUGAGUAACCUGCCCUUGACUUUGGGAUAACUUCAGGAAACUGGGGCUAAUACCGGAUAGGAGCUCCUGCUGCAUGGUGGGGGUUGGAAAGUUUCGGCGGUUGGGGGUGGACUCGCGGCUUAUCAGCUUGUUGGUGGGGUAGUGGCUUACCAAGGCUUUGACGGGUAGCCGGCCUGAGAGGGUGACCGGCCACCUUGGGACUGAGAUACGGCCCAGCCUCCUACGGGAGGCAGCAGUGGGGAAUAUUGCACAAUGGGCGGAAGCCUGAUGCAGCAACGCCGCGUGCGGGAUGACGGCCUUCGGGUUGUAAACCGCUUUCGCCUGUGACGAAGCGUGAGUGACGGUAAUGGGUAAAGAAGCACCGGCUAACUACGUG